GAUUAUCCUAAGCUUACCUUUGUACUUACCCUGUGUUGCUGGAGGAGAACUGACUGACAUUUUUUUCCUCAAUCGGACACAAACAGUGGAUAUUGUCAUAGUUGCAAUAAAAGUAAGAGGAAGCCUUCCUGUGUAACUGGAUGCCUGGCCUUCUCCUCCUGGAAGGAUUAACUGAGUUCACACUGAGCAGGGGAAAUCUUCCACAUGUGCCGUUCAAGUCCCCAUCAGAAAUCCAAGUUACAGUCCGCUCCAUUGCUGCUCAGGGUCCAACGAAUGUCUACCUGAUCACUCUCCAAUGAGUUCCCUCUUCUCUGAAUAAACCCACACCUACUGUAUCAAGGAAAAACAAGAACCCCCUCAAAUACUUUCCAGUUCCGGUUCAUCAGUUCUCUGGGUUCCAGAUUCAACUCCUGUACAGUCUUCUCACUAA
This is a long non-coding RNA of Cyprinodon tularosa, 430 nucleotides long. RefSeq lists it as uncharacterized. Lineage: Eukaryota; Metazoa; Chordata; Actinopteri; Cyprinodontiformes; Cyprinodontidae. The transcript is spliced from 3 exons. The record is from RefSeq and is a predicted model, not a curated record.